GGAGAUACACCUGUUCCCAUGCCGAACACAGAAGUUAAGCCCUAGUACGCCUGAUGUAGUUGGGGGUUGCCCCCUGUUAGAUACGGUAGUCGCUUAGC
RNAcentral lists this ribosomal RNA (98 nucleotides) under Peptostreptococcus sp. RNAcentral also lists the same sequence under 3 other names. The record is from RNAcentral. Lineage: Bacteria; Bacillati; Bacillota; Clostridia; Peptostreptococcales; Peptostreptococcaceae.